CACGGACCAAGGAGUCUAACAUGUGCGCGAGUCAUUGGGCGUUGCUAAACCCAAAGGCGCAAUGAAAGUGAAGGCGCAACCCCCGUAGGGGGCCGCCGAGGGAAGAUGGCCGUCGCGAACGCGGGCUCUGCCCGGGCGCGGCUCGCAUUCCCGGGGCGUCUCGCUCCUCCUCGCGAGGGGAGGCGCACCCAGAGCGCACACGUUGGGACCCGAAAGAUGGUGAACUAUGCCCGGCCAGGACGAAGUCAGGGGAAACCCUGAUGGAGGUCCGUAGCGAUUCUGACGUGCAAAUCGAUCGUCGGAGCUGGGUAUAGGGGCGAAAGACUAAUCGAACCAUCUAGUAGCUGGUUCCCUCCGAAGUUUCCCUCAGGAUAGCUGGUGCUCGGAGGAGUCUCAUACGGUAAAGCGAAUGAUUAGAGGCCUUGGGGCCGAAACGACCUCAACCUAUUCUCAAACUUUAAAUGGGUGAGACCCCCGGCUUGCUCGGGGCGUGAAGCCGGAGACGGAUCCGGAGUGCCAAGUGGGCCACUUUUGGUAAGCAGAACUGGCGCUGUGGGAUGAACCAAACGCCGAGUUAAGGCGCCCGAAUCGACGCUCAUGGGAAACCAUGAAAGGCGUUGGUUGCUUAAGACAGCAGGACGGUGGCCAUGGAAGUCGGAAUCCGCUAAGGAGUGUGUAACAACUCACCUGCCGAAGCAACUAGCCCUGAAAAUGGAUGGCGCUGAAGCGUCGUGCCUAUACUCGGCCGUCGGAGGCAUUGGGGGCCGCCGACCUCACAAGGGUCGGCGCCCGAAGAAGCCCCGACGAGUAGGAGGGUCGCGGCGGUGAGCGCAGAAGGGCACCGGCGUGAGCCUGCCUGGAGCCGCCGUCGGUGCAGAUCUUGGUGGUAGUAGCAAAUACUCCAGCGAGGCCCUGGAGGACUGAAGCGGAGCAGGGUUUCGUGUGAACAGCCGUUGCACACGAGUCAGUCGAUCCUAAGCCCUAGGCGAAAGCCGAUGCCGAUGGGCGGUCCAGAGACCCGGACUGGCGGACCACCCCCGGCGGGCGAAAGGGAAUCCGGUUCCUAUUCCGGAACCCGGCAGCGGAACCGUUCCGAAAUCGGGCCCUCGCGAGAGUGUUCGUCGGGGUAACCCGAAAGGACCCGGAGACGCCGUCGGGAGAUCUGGGAAGAGUUUUCUUUUCUGCAUGAGCGUUCGAGUUCCCUGGAAUCCUCCCGCAGGGAGAUAGGGUUUGGGACGCGAAGAGCACCGCAGUUGCGGCGGUGUCCAGAUCUUCCCCUCGGACCUUGAAAAUCCGGGAGAGGGCCACGUGGAGCAUUCGCGCCGGCUCGUACCCAUAUCCGCA
Molecule: ribosomal RNA, 1344 nt
Filed under: Trychopeplus sp. WS134
Lineage: Eukaryota; Metazoa; Arthropoda; Insecta; Phasmatodea; Diapheromeridae
Description: partial 28S ribosomal RNA
Rfam family: Eukaryotic large subunit ribosomal RNA
Source: RNAcentral